GUGGAAAGGAGUUUUUGACUGUUUCUGUAAGUCAGAACAUGUCUCUCAGAAGAUACAACAUUGGCAUUGGAUUUGGAAAGGCAAAUAAGAGAACAGCUCACUCUGAAUUUCAGAUACUCCUGGUUGCAGCAUGAGCUCUGAAAACUACUGGCCUCACCUGAUGUUUCUGGAUUUGUUAACUGCUUUCCAGACACCGGUUGAAAGGAAGAUAAGCUGUCCUCGUUUCGUUUCUAGUGCUAUGAUGAAAUAUCCUGGCAAAAAUCAGCUGAGGGGAGACAGGGUUUGCUUUGGCUCACAAUUUUAGCUUGCAGAUCAUCAUGACAAGAGAGUCAAGAUGGCAGGAACUUAAAAUAAUGACUCACACCACAGCCACAGCGGAGACGAUGCUGUCACCCAUAAUUGGUGCUUUACCAGCAUAUAUACCUGUGUACCACUUACAUCCUUGAUGCCAUCAGAAGCCAGAAGAAAGCACUAGAUCCUCUGGAACUGAAAUUACAGAUGGUUGUGAGACACCUACUGCGUGCUGGGUAUGAAACCAGUGUCCUUCUGGGAGAGCUACCAGUAUUCUGUACCACUUACAUAUCUCUGAGGCUCAUUCAGAAGGCCUUUAGCGUUGCUUAUUCAUCCCUACAUUCCCUUCUCUACACUUCCCCCAUUCCCUACCCCAUUUAGCCCUUUGUGCUCCCAUAUUCCCCUUUAACCUUCUUUACCAUUGCAUUUUACCUCCCCUCCUUAGAAUGUAUCCCUAUGAUCCCUGAGUAUUCCAAUUGAAACACACACUUCUGAAAAUUUGAAGCUAGUAUCCACAAACAAGAGAAAACUUUUGGUGUUCGUCAUUCUUGGUCACAGUUUACCUACUCAGAAUGAUUGGUUUUUAAAUGCAUCCAUUUACUUGCAAAUUUCAUAAUUUCUUAUUAUCAGCUGAAUGGUAUUGCAUUAUAUAAAUGUACCACAUUUUCACUGUCUAUUCAUUAGAUGUGCUUCAAUGUGCUAUGUUUGCUACCAGGGGAGAAGAGUAACCAGCAAUUCUCCCCAGCUGCUGACCCUGAGAGCCACCAUAAUUAUAAGUUGGACACAUGUAAUAGCAGAAUGAACAUCUUGGGAAUAAUCUAUUAUUUUAUGAUAGGAUUUAAAGACUACUCCAGAAACUGAAACCCAUACCUGGCACCAUCAUCUGGGUCAAUAAUAUGUGGCUAGGCAGGUUAUAGAUCCUACAGGAGAACCUUAUAUUGUUAUAGUGCUAAAUGGACAUGGUAGUAAAUGGACUCCUAUUAGUUACCAUUAUGGCAUACAUCAGUAGUUCUCAACCUUCCUAAUGCUUUGACUCUUUAAUAUAGUACCUUAUUUGGUGACCCCCAACCAUAAAGUUAUUUUGUUGCUACUUCAUAACUGUAAUUUUGCUACUGUUACAAAGUAUAAAUUUGAUAUCUGUUAUGCAGGGUUAUCUGAUAUGUGACCGUUGUAAAAGGGUGAUUAGACCACUAGAGGAGUAGCGACCACACAUUGAGAACCACUGCCAUAGGGUAUUGAAUCUUCCAUCCCUCAUGAGUGACACUUCUUUUUUCAGUAGUUGAUGAUUCACAAAGACACAACUGGUAAAUGUGAAGGGAAGAAGUGACUGCAGAACACUCAGUCUUAAAAAUGGGAUACUCAGGGGUUGUCGGGGAGAGAGUGUGGAAAGACCGUCAGAGCCAGAGGCAGUGCACGCCUAGGAGGAUAAGGUGUUUUACACAGCAGAGCCGUUGAAUAUAUUCAUUCGUAACAGUUGUGACACAUACUUUCGACUUAUACAAUCUCAAAUCAGACAAAAUCCACACUUGCAGAGGAGAAGGGGGCCGAAGUCCCACCCCUAGCUGAGUAGCUAUUGGAGACUGAGAGUUUCUGAGAGAGCAAAGUCAGUUUUCUUUAAGGGUGUGGCUCCUGGUAUGUGGACCAUACUCCAAUAGAAGGCCACACACCUAAGAGUAUAUGGGUAACACCAAGUGUACUUGAUUGAAAAAAAAAGGUAGCAAGUUAAGUGGGUAGGGAAAAGGGACAAGGAUCGAGGGGAAUGUUGUGAAGAGUGAAAAUGAUCUAAAGACGUUGUAUGAAAUUCUCAAUGAAUUAAUAAAAAUAAGGUGGAAAGAGAAAAACAAGUUUAGAAAUUGGUAAGGUAAUUAAGGGAGUAAUAUCAAAUUUCUAACUCUUCUGCACUUGCU
Molecule: non-coding RNA, 2198 nt
Organism: Myodes glareolus (Bank vole)
Lineage: Eukaryota; Metazoa; Chordata; Mammalia; Rodentia; Cricetidae
Source: RefSeq, a predicted model, not a curated record